GAUCCUGGCUCAGAUUGAACGCUGGCGGCAUGCCUUACACAUGCAAGUCGAACGGCAGCGGACCUUCGGGUGCCGGCGAGUGGCGAACGGGUGAGUAAUAUAUCGGAACGUACCUUUCAGUGGGGGAUAACGUAGCGAAAGGUACGCUAAUACCGCAUAUUCUGUGAGCAGGAAAGCAGGGGAUCGCAAGACCUUGCGCUGAUUGAGCGGCCGAUAUCAGAUUAGCUAGUUGGUGAGGUAAAGGCUCACCAAGGCGACGAUCUGUAGCGGGUCUGAGAGGAUGAUCCGCCACACUGGAACUGAGACACGGUCCAGACUCCUACGGGAGGCAGCAGUGGGGAAUUUUGGACAAUGGGGGCAACCCUGAUCCAGCCAUGCCGCGUGAGUGAAGAAGGCCUUCGGGUUGUAAAGCUCUUUCGGCCGGGAAGAAAUCGUAUGGGUUAAUACCCUGUGCGGAUGACGGUACCGGCAUAAGAAGCACCGGCUAACUACGUG
RNAcentral lists this ribosomal RNA (495 nucleotides) under uncultured bacterium. Its description in RNAcentral is "bacterial SSU rRNA". It matches the Rfam family "Bacterial small subunit ribosomal RNA", at positions 15 to 507 of the family's 1533-position model. The record is from RNAcentral.